This is an RNA transcript of Caretta caretta (loggerhead turtle), 12605 nucleotides long. It is a transcript of the gene named LY6/PLAUR domain containing 6B, with no coding region annotated. The record is from RefSeq and is a predicted model, not a curated record. NCBI's taxonomy places the organism in Eukaryota, Metazoa, Chordata, Testudines, Cheloniidae.
CGGAGCUCCGAGCCCCAGCCGGCAGCCACUUGGCACCGGGCGCUCCUUACCUGGAGCCCGCCCUGCUCCGCCCCCGGCAGGGAGCAGGCCCCGCCCCGGCUGAGCAGCCGCCCGGGCGAGGCGCGUGUGUGCGAGGGCAGCGGGCCGGGGUCUGGCGCGGCCGGGGGUGCCCGCCCCCCUCCCGGGUUUUCCAGUAGGCGCUCGCCCCUCUGCCUCCUCGCGCCGCGCUCCGGCCCCGAGCCGCAGACGGUCCCCAGCCCCUUGGGGGCUGGCGGGGAAGGGGCUUGGCAGCCCCGGCCGCUGCAAGGGGCGCUCGGAGAGCCGGGAGGCUGCCGCUAACCGAUGCUUUUCUUGAUCUGUUUGUGAACAAUUUGGGCUCCAGUACAAGGAAGACCUGGGGCAUCCGCAGGAAACAGUCCUGGGGAUACACUGCACAAGUAUUUUAGAUUUCCCUGUUCAGUAAUAGUCAGCAUGCUACUAUUCUAUCACAUGUUGGCAUUAGCUUCUCUUCAGAUCUUCAUCCUCUCAGAGAAUUGGGCUCUAGCCAAGAACAUCAACUUCUAUAAUGUGAGACCUCCACAAGACCCCACUCCAUUUCCAAACAGCUUUAAGUGUUUCACCUGUGCAAAUGCAGCUGACAAUUACAACUGUAACAGAUGGGCUGAAGAUAAAUGGUGCCCUGAAAAUACAAAGUACUGCUUGACAGUUCAUCAUUUCACAAGCCAUGGAAGGAGUACAUCUGUGACCAAAAAAUGUGCUACCAGGGAUGAAUGCCGUUUUGUUGGCUGUCACCCACGCAGAGAGACAGGCCGUACAGAAUGCAUUUCUUGCUGUGAAGGGAUGAUCUGCAAUGUAGAAAUACCAACCAAUCGCACAAAUGCAGUAUUUUCAGUAAUGCAUGCUCCGAGGACAUCAGAUGGCAGCAGGAGGACAAUUAGUAUUCCAGUACUUGCAUCAGUCAUAACAAUUAUGUUGUUAUGAUGCAGCUUUCCAUGUGCCAAAUGUGAUUCAGAGGGAUAAACUUUCUGGGCUCAGCUAUAAGAAGAACAUUUCAGUUUGAAGAAAGACUCCGGCCCCCUUCAGAUGAUAGAAGAUGGUAGGAAAACAUGGACAUGCACAUCAUGAAGUUUGUUGAUCAUUUAUUGAAAAUUCUUGGAAAGAGUCUGAAGUAUUUAAAAACAAACAAACUGGUGACCAGACACUAUAGUAGACUUUAACCAGUUAUCUGAAUUCUUCAUUUGGUGGUGGAAGCGUGUGUACACUCUGCACAUUACUUGAACAAGGAAACUGGUUGUCUGUAGGCAGUCAAUUUACCAGGUAGAACUCAGAACACUACUGAGUCUAUCAUCAGAUAUAUUUUGGAAUUCCAUUCACGGCUUUGACAAACAAGACUGUGUCCCCAAACCAACUCUAUGCAAGGUUCUUAUACUAUUCUUUCUUCUACGUUGUUUAACUUUGAAAAGAAUAUACGGCUGAAGAACAGUAUGAUACGCUAAAGGAAACAUGGGAUGUGUGUUUUGAAAAGCAAUGUUUAAAUGAUCAGUGUAAGUUUUGAAUACAAUAGGUGAAAUCCUUGCUUGAUUGAAGUCAAUGGGAAUUUUGCCAUUGACUUUAUUUGGGCAAGGAUUUCACCCAAUAUAUGUGGUGGUUACAUGCACAAUUCCUUAUUUUAAAACAAAAUGAGAGUAGUACAAAUGGCAGGCAAAAAUCUGUCAGCCUACAGUCCAUUAAGCCAUUAUUGUGAUAAUACGAAUGAAUUACUGUGAUAAGGUUAUUCUGGGUAGAUCCUACUAAUUUAAAUAAGGCUGGCUAAAGUGAUUUGUAUAUGAUGAAUCAUAUGAAGAAUACUGAAUUGUUUCUCCUAGCACUUGAAAAUUUGUUUGUGUGUAUAAACAAUAUUUGAGUUGACAGCCAAAGUGGCAAAGCUCAUUGACCUGAGGCAAUAAAUAUCCAAAGCCUUACCUUCUUAUUGUGAUUGUUAAAUGAACUAUGCAGUACAGAAUUGAUGGAAGAACUGAUGUUAGCUGGGAGAAAUAAUCUAAAGAAAUAGAAUGAAAUAGAAUGUUACUGUCACCAUCUGAAAGAACAGUAAUAAUACUUAGCUUUUUAUAUAGCACUUUUCGUCAGUAGCUCACAAAGUGCUUUACAAUGGAGGAGAGCAUCAUUAUCCCCAUUUUACAGUGGAGAAAUUCAGGCACAAGGAGGUGAAGUGCCUUGCCCAAGGUCUCCCUGUAGGCCAAUGGCAGAGCCAGGAAGAGAACCCACAUCUCACAUUAAUCAUCAUCCCCUGAUUUAUAACUUUUAAAUUUGGUGCCAGCAGGCACACUGUGUAUCACCCUGGGACAAAAACAUGAUGAAGAUGGGUCUUUACAUGCAAUGAGAGUUGCAAGAAUCACACUUAUGAGGAGACACAAUUGUCAAUAUAUUUUAAUUAAGGGACAUGGGAUAUUUCCCAUGGUACAAAGACUGUUGGGUACUCAGCUCACACUGAAAGCCAGUGGGAGUUCGAUGCUUAACUCACACGUGUGCCUUUGAAAAUCUGCUCCUUAAUCUGAAUCUUCCUCCAAAGGUUCUCCGUGUAUUGUCUUUUAUUCAUUUUUAUUCUCCCCCAAAUCAAAUAAAGACAAAGUGCAUCCAAAUAAAGGCAACCAGUAUCCAAUUUUCUGGAACUUGAAACAUGAUUUUAAGGGCCAGCUUGUGGUAGCAUUAGUCAUAUUGGGUAGUACCUCACCCCAUGUAUAGUCCCAAUGAAGUGAAUGAGGCUAUGGGUUGACUAAGUUUUACCCAAUGUGACACAAUCUGCCCUAAAUUUACAUUGCUUAUCACAGGAAACUUGGGAAUCUGAAGUCAUCCUCUUCACCUGAUUCCCCACUGCUAUUCAGUAUCUUAGCCAGUGUUAUGGCCAUGAGUUCCUGAAAUAUUUAAGGUUACUGAACUCAGCUUACUUUACAGAAAACACAUUGGUAACAUGAUGAUGCUUGGUAAAAGGAGCUCCAGCUGUGGGGCCAUUCCUAAUCAUUCAGUUAUUUUAUGAAAGGAGAUGAAUGAAGGGUCAUGAGAGAGAGAAACAAAAAAGCUUCCAAAUAGGACUAUUUUUUGCAGAUCAUAGGUCAAGUUUGACAGUGUCACUUUAAGAAAUAACCUUGUGUGUCUGGCAUAAAGGGCUUAGAAAAUUAUGGUGAUAGGCACCAUAGAAAAUGCUAAGAUAAACAGGCAUCGUAAAAGUGUGCAAAACCUAGUCAUCUGAAAGAAAGAAAAUUGAGUAAUUUAAAAUCAGCAAAGUGAAAGCAGAGACGGAUGGGAACUCUGACCAGAGGUACAUAUAGUUACCCUUGCAGGUUAAUUUGAAGCUCCUCUUUACAAUGUCUUGCUUGUAGUUUCCAUGACAAUGCACAUUAUGGUUCUGACCCUUAAAAAGGGGCCUCUUCCAGGUAACAUGCAAUGUCAUUAGUUAUUGUUUUGACUAAUUUCUCACUGGCUCUGUCACCAUUGUGACACCAAGGAGGUCUUUCUAAAAAGUAGGUUCUCUGAGUGUGUUACUCAUAGAUCAGUCUUCUGGAGGUUGAACUUGAUUAAUGAGCAUUUUAAUUUCCAUAGAGCCUGGAGAAAGUGGGAGCAUAUGGUGCCUCCUCUCAAUUUCUUCACAUUUAUUUGAACACCACUGCUUUUGGAAUUUCACUUAUACAUUAUGAGAAGCCCUGAAGUCCUCUCCCUGACCCUUUCUUUUUCAGUUUGGUGUACCUAGAGGAAAAUCUAGAAUAAGAGUAGUUUGUUUUUCAUUUUACUUUACAGUAACAGCCACUGCUGAAAACCAGCAGGUACCCCUGCCAGUCUAAGCCAGUUUAGGGAGAUAGAAUGGCUAAUGUAAACAGCCUGGACGUUUGAAAGACAUGGAAAACACAAUGUCUCUGUAGAAAGGAAUAGACUAUACCCUUUACAAGGGUUUUGGGUUUACAGAAGUUUUCAUUAAGGCUUGAUGUGCCCCUGGGAGGUGCUGUACAGAUCAGCUGAGGUUACAUUAUUGAGCGGGUAGGUUCACUGAAUGGAAAACGAUGAGCUCUUGAAUGAAGUGUUAAUGGAUAUUUGAGACCAAAAAUACACAAGAUUUAUUUUAGAAAAAGCCCCCCUCCUGUUUCAAAGUUUAUAUUCAGAUGUGGGGCAAGGCAGAACUGGCAGGUGGAGGGUGUAAAACAACUGUGUUUUCGUGGUUUAAACAUUAUCCUGCAUGGCACUGAGUCACCACAAAUGCUAUAAACUCAUGAAACAGCCUUAGGUUUGUGUUCUCCAGAAACCUUGGAAAAAUGCAUUUGGGUUCUCAAAUUUCAGAGCCUAUGCAUCUAGCUAUUAUCCUACAAAAAUGGGUGAUUUUAUACUAAAAGUUGUCUAGGUGACAUUUCUUUUUUGAAUAAUGUAUUUGACUAGUUAUUUAUUUCAGAAGGGUUGUAUAAGGGCUUGUCUACAAAUGGAGUUAUUCAGGGAUAACUCCACAUGUGGACACUCUUAUUCUGGAAUGAGGAUGCUUUGUUCUUGUUUAGCUUAACAUACUUUGAAAGUGGAGUCAAGUAAAUAGGAGCAAGGCAGUCUUAUUCCACAAUACAUGUAUCCACACAUGGACUUAUUCCAGAAUAGCUAUUCCUGAAUAACUCCAUAUGUAAACAAACCAUUAGUAGUUUAAAGUGUCAGGUGUGAAAUGCCUAGGUUCCCUGAAAUCAUGGGUUUGAACCAUGGCCCCAUUACCUCAGCCCUUCUGUGUUAGAUAAUGUGAGAUUCAUGCAGUGUAAUGGGCAUGUGACUUAGGCUCUCUCUGCUCAUUAUGAAAAUUAAAUAUCCCAUGGCGCUUUUCAUAAGAGCAAGGGUUUCUCUCAAAACCAUUGGCCAACUGCUGCCUUCCUCUCCCUACCACCAGGAGUGGUUACAUGGUUCCCGUAAGAAUAAAUUGCCUGAUCCUGAGCACCCGCAGUUAUUGAAGUCAGUGGAAUUGCACAUGCUCAACCCCUCUCAAGAUCAGGCUUAGAGUAUGCAAAUCCACCAUCCACCAGGACGAAAUUUGCUAUAUGUAAAAUUAUCAUUUCUUACAAGCUGCCCUAGAGCAGCUUAAUCAUUCCUGUGUGUGAGGCUUGUUAAUUGGAAAAAAAAAUCAAACCUAGUGUUGGAUAGAGCAUGCAGACCCUUCCUCAUGUGAGUAGCCCUUCUUGAUGUUCUCAGUUUCAAUAGGUAGAGUUCAGAGUAAGGGUGUCCAGGACUGAGCCCAAAGUCUUUGUAAUUCCGUUUUUGCGAUUCAAGUCCUGUCCAUGUUUUAUCCUUCUAACUCAUUUAACCCUUUCCUGGCAAUCUGCCUUCUCACAGUGGAAAGAACCAGAUAUUUUCAGCAUUUUGAAGAGAGAUUGUUAUGAUAAUGUAAUAAUUUAUGAGCAUUUGAGUGAUUACAACAGUUUCUUGUAACUACCUCUAAGCCACUCUGCAUUUACAUCUGAAAGAAAGGGAGAGAUAGAAAGAUUGCUUAGAGGAAUGUACUACUAUAUUUUAAUUCCUUCGCUGCCUAUUUUCCCCUCAGGUUGCUCACAUACUGUAAUGCCGGUUAGCCUCAUUGGAAAUUAUACCCAUGUACCCAAGGAAGCAUACGUUCCCUGUAGUGGUAUUUUUUGGAAAAAAUAUUUAUGAAAAUGGGUUGCUAUAAGGAUGUUCAUUGUAGUUUGGGGCUCUUUUCUCAUUAGCAUUACACCCUUAUUACUUUUUUCAUUAAAAUAUUUUAUUCAGAAUAUUUUUACAUAAAUAAUGUAAACUAACUAAAUAAAUAAUGAAGACCAGCAGAAUGUGGUCUCUUUCUCUCCUCUUUGUUUUAUUCUUCUGUAAAACUGCACUAUUGUAUAUUCUGUGAAUGCAUAUGUUAAAAAGACAGGACAGCACACUGUGAAAGCUCCGUGUACAGAUUUUGGACAAUAUGUUGACUAUUCAUUUUAUGAAUAUCUCUGUUUUAUACAGAGAUGGGCCAAAGCAAAACCAGAGAACCAGAGUCCCCAUAUUUUGUUAAAAAUCCAGAACUGAAAUUAGCAACUGUUCUUUUCUCUUUAAUAGGCUGGUGAAAAACAUUGGAGCCAAAUAUCUUUUGUGUGUUUGAAAUCUGAUUCAAAUAUUGCACCUUGCAUCUACUUGUAAUGUUUUGUAUUCAGAGGUGGAGUCACUAGCACUAGUCAACCAUUUUUGAAUUUUGUGUAUUCACUGUGCCUGAUGAUAUCUUCUGAUGAGGGGAGUUCAUAGCCAUUGUAGGAUCCUUCAUUAUUAAGCUCAGCACUGGAGACCCUAUGGAAGAGUUAUUGAAACUCUGCACAGUUUUUAUCUUCCUGAGUGCCAGCAGACUUACAAUAAACAGGAAACUUGCCUUUUGCUGUCUCAUAUUUGAUCCAGACAUUUGUAAUGAAAGAGGUCAAGGGACCCAAGCAAUUUUUUUACUUUCAUAAUUGACACAGCAAGCCCAGAGAUGCCAGGGCUCAGCCCCAGCAAGCCCUGGCACAAAUUAAGCACUGGAUCCAGAAAGUGCAAAGUAAAGAUCUUGUUCACUUAGCAGAACCAAAAUUCAGUCCCGGGCACUGGGAAGUAGACACUUUGCCACAAUAAUUAAUUAUGGCUUGUGCUGAAUACAAUACAGUAAUUUGGUUCGAGAGGGCAGUUGUCAUGUUCAUAUUGGCACUGUUCAUAUUGGCACUAACUCAAGUUCGUUAAAAUACUUUUAAUGGAAAACAUAUUUUACUAAUGAGCUUUUUCCAUUGGGACAUCGUUCUCUAUUGUGUGAAAAAUUGUCCAGAAAACUAGUCAACAAGGGACCGCAAUUGCACUUACAUUUUCCUCCCUCCCUGUUCUUGCUACAGAGCAUGACUGGUCCAUUUAAUGUGUGAACUUUAGAAAACAAAAAUUAUCUUGCUUUAAUGCAAUAUCUCUGAAUUGCAGAAGGCUGGAGUAAUUACUGCAAUGCCUGCUUAUGUUCUGAAUUUCCUUUCAUUUUGCUAAAAUUAACUGAGAUUUGUAUAGGGAGAGAUGGCAGUGGGAUGAAUACAAACUGUCUUUUGCUAAAUCAAAUGUAUGUGCACAAAUUACUUUAAAAUAUUUUUAAAUUAAAUGUGAAACUAGAAGGAGACAAGUCACAUCAUGUUCCCCAUGGGUUGAAUUCUCCCCAUCAUGAUGGCCAGCAGGAGGUCUAUGCAGUGCUAAAUUCAUGUCCUCAAAAUAGGGUUAAAAUGGAUCUUGGUGCAUUAGGCCUUUUGCUAUCUCUCAGUGCAUGGAUGAUUUUUACCUUAUGUGAUCUGAAAUUGAGACACAAAUGGCAAAAGAACUGUUUCUGGAUUGUUGGGACAAUGUGCAUGCUAAUACAUAAAACCCAGUUGCUGAAGAUCAUCAGUUGGUUCAAGAGUACAGUUAUCAUUCUUAGUUAGUCUGUCAAUAUUGGCAGUAGAUCAAGUUUGUAAAAACGAGUUUCAUGGAAAACCUAUUUUAGUAAUGAGAAUCUGCCAUUGGGACAUCAUUCUCUGUUGUUGAUGAUCAGCUUUUCUUUAAUCUUUAAUCUUAAAAGAAUAAACCAUCUCAGGAGAUACCACCAUUAAUAAUACAAUAAUGGAGGUGUUCUUGCUAAAUAUUUAGCAUUCUGGAAUCAUUUCUGGAUCUAAAUAAGUGAUCCCUUAGAACACCAUUAGCACAAAGGAAAAAGUGAUGGGAUGAACAUGGCAUUGAACCUUGGCACCAGAUCUUCCUACUUCAGGUCAGAGUUCACAGCUCAAGCCAAUCUCUGCUCAGCUUUAACUAUCAUAGUGCUAACAUCUCACUAUAGCAAGCAGAAUCAAGACACCCAGCAAAUUCACUUCAGGAUUUCAUUUCAGGAGUGUUUAAGUCCAGAGUUUAGGUGAUGGAGUUACUUCGAAGAACAGCAGACUUUUGUUUGUUUAAAAAAAAAUGUGUAUGCUACAGCGGCUUAUUAUCGCCUAGGCCGGCAAAUUUGCAGGGACGGCAAAUUUAUAAUAGCAGCAUUUUUGUAAUCUUGGCAUCAGUGACGCCGUGAUUCUGCCAAUCACAGCACGUAUUGAAACCACCAAUGAUGGUGCGACACCAUUUAGUAAACAUACUCACGAGAAUCCCAAACGUUAAUAAUAUGACCGGAAGGAAGAAAUUAAGCAGUUCUCAGUUAAAAAACAAACAAACAAACAAAAAAAGGCUAUACAAAAGAAAGAAAGGGAAAAUGAAAUGAUAGCAAAAAUGCGCAAAUAGAUUCCUUUGUUAUAUCAGUUAGUGCUGACAGUGAGACAGAAAAAAUAGUUGAAAGUAGUAGUGAAGUAAAAAGUGAAAAUAUUGGUGUUGAUAUUGAAAAUAUUGAUGUGAUUAAAGUACAUAUUGAAACUAACUAAGAAAUUUCGGCUGCGGUUAGUGUUGAAGAAAAUACUCCAAAUACUAGCAUAUCAGAGACUACCAGGAAUCAUGCUGAUCUGGAUAUCUUUGACAAUACUGCAGAGAUUUGCGAAUCACAUCAAUCAGAAAUUCAAUCUGACACUGAAAUAUCUACCAUAAGUGACGACCCGGCCCAACGGAUAUUGAAUGAUGCUACAAUUGAGUAUUUAUCAAAGCAUGGUAUUAAACAAAAUAUCGAUAGUGAUUUUACUAACUCAGAAAGACAAUAUACUGAUAAAAUGUGUGUUCUAACAAAAAAUGUGUUUGAACGACAUCUUUUAAACAGUGAAGUAAAGCCACGGCAAUAUCUUCUAUAUUAGGAGAACAAAGGAACCAUGUUUUGUGCCCCAUGUCGAUUAUUCGGAGGGAUCUCUAGUCUGGUGACGAGUGGAUACCAUGAUUGGAAACACAUAUCAGCUCGACUACGUGAACAUGAAAAUUCGACUGAACAUAAAACAUGUGUACUGACAAUGGUGAGGAGAGGCGAGAUAUCUGGAAGAAUUUAUACGAAUUUAAAAUUUCAAAUGGAAGAAGAUAUUAUUUAUUGGAGAAAUGUGUUGAAGAGGAUUGUAGCAGUGGUAAAGAAACUUUCAAGCAGAGGACUUGCAUUUAGAGGUAAGGUAGAAAAAUGUGGAUCACCUUAUAAUGGCAAUUACAUGAUGGCCCUUGAGCUUGUCACAGAAUUCGAUCCAUUUUUAGCAAAUCACAUUGCACGUUACGGAAAUGAAGGUUGAGGUAACAUAUCUUAUCUUUCAUCCUAUACAUGUAAUGAAUUUAUAGAACUGAUGGCUUCAAAUGUGAUCUCAAAUAUUAUUAAAGAAGUAAAGAGGCCAAAUAUUUCUCGAUAAGCAUUGAGUCAACUCCCGACAUAUCUCAUGUUGAUCAAUUGGCUUUUAUACUGUGAUAUGUAAAUGAUGAUGGCAUACCAGUAGAGAGGUUUCUUUGUUUUUUACCAAAUACUGGCCACAAAUCAGAACAGUUAGCUGAUGCUCUACUUUCAACUUUUGAAUUGUUAUGGAUUAGAUAUCGCAAACUGCUGUGGCCAGUCGUACGACAAUGCCACUAACAUGUCUGGUGUAUAUCGCGGGUUGUAAGCAAGAAUAAAGAAUAUAAAUCCUUAUGCUGUGUUUGUGCCUUGCUCUGCGCAUUCUUUAAACCUGGUUGGAGUAUGUGCAGCAGAAAGUUGUCAAGAAGCACGUUCAUUUUUCUUAACUGUCCAACAUCUUUAUUUUUUUCUUUUCAUUUUUUUCUGCCUCUACUCACCAGUGGGAGAUUUUACUAUCUGAUUUGAAGCCAGGCAGUAAAAUAACAAAAAGACUUUCUGAGACUCGAUGGUCGUCUCGAGUGGAAGCUUGUCAUAAUUUGAGUGAAAACUGGAAUGCUAUAAUUAAAGCCUUAAAUACAAUAAAGGAAGAUGCUACUGAGAAACCUGUUACAUGUAAUGAAGCUGCAGGCCUGCAGCGAAAACUCGAUCGACUUAAGGCAGCUUUUAUGGCUGUAUUUUGGAGCUCUCUCUUGGAUUGAUUUCAUAUAACUAGCCAAAAACUGCAAAAUGUUAAUAUUGAUAUACAGACAGUUGUAGAACUCUACAACUCACUAAUAGGAUACAUUAACUCUGUACAGGGCUUGUUUGAUAUGUACAAAGAGAAAGCCAAAGAAAAAUCUGAAACUGAUACGAAUUUGACACAAGGCAAAAAGAAAGCGUAAACUUCAAUCUGAUGACACGCAAAGGUGAAGUGGAAAUGUGUGGUAGAGAUAAAUUUAAAGUAGAUACCUUUUAAACAAUACUAGACCUUGUAUGCUCUGAAUUAAAAUGCAGAAAUAAUGCGUAUCAAGAAAUUUAUGGCAGAUUUCAGUUUCUCUCUAACAUUCCCAAUACUUCAACAACAGAUAUAACAGUUCACGCUAAAAAAUUACAGCUAUGCUACCAAGGAGAUUUAGAAGAAUCAUUCAUGAAUGAGUGUCUUCCUUUUUUAUCGUAUUUGGAAGGUGUUGAAAUUCCUGAAAAGUGAAAAGAAGUCAAUUUUAAGAUAUUGCAGCCUUCUUCGAAAUCAAAACAUUCAUUCAGUAUAUCCAAAUAUUGAUAUUGCCUUCCGAAUGUUUGCACACCUGCUACAAACUGUUCAGUAGAACGAUCAUUUUCGGCAUUAAAAAGGGUGAAAAACUAUUUGAGGGCUAAUCUCAGUGAAGAAAAAUUAAACUCCCUUUCUCUCCUGACAAUUGAAAAGGAUCUAACAACUUCUCUGGAUUAUACAGAAUUAAUUAAUAAAUUUUCCGCUCAAAGGUGUAGGCGAAAACAAAUGUAACUACUUACUACUCACAUACUUUUAUAGUAUCUACAUAAAAUAAAAAAUAAACAUUUGAUAUACACUGUACCGCAGCUUGAAUGUGGGGUUUUGGAUCCAUGCGCGGUCCCGCACUAUAAGCAAAAUCAUGCUAUACAGACGCAUGUUCAAGUGAGGGUCUGCUGUACUUGUAAUUUUAUUUAUAAUAAAACUUGUAAAUGUUCAAUUAUUUUAAUGAUAUUUAGAUUCAUUUUAGUUCAAACAAAUUUGUAAAAAAGCUAAAACUAGUUCAUAUGGGGCCAGGGGCAAAAAUUAUUUCAGGGCCUAGGGGCGGGAAAAUCAUUAAUCCGCCACUGGUAUGCUAUAUUUACAGAUGUUAAGGAGCCUUCUCCUUUUGCUAUACCGCUGCAUCCUGGGGAAUUUCUCAUUAGGCUGUUUAGCCAAAGAUUCUGACGAACUAAUAAGCACCAGCAAUAAUCAUACUAUGGGAAGUCUAUUGAUUUCUUUUCCUUUUUAUUAAUUCCUCAUAGACAGUUGUUUAAUGCUGUAAUUUGUGCACUUAAAGGGGAAUUUUAGUGGUUCAAUGUCAAUUUAAUUAUCUCACUCAUUCACUGAAUAGUAAUUUUGUGUUAGCUUGACCAUAGCUUCCUUUAAGCUGCUGCAUUUGGAAAUAUAAUCAGAUCUUUCUGUGCCUGUGCUCCCCAGAUAACUCUCAUAAACAUACACAUAUGCAAUUUUUUUCCGCCAGGCCUCCACACAGCUUUAAGGGCUUGUUUAUUUUGGCAUCUGAUUCAACACCAAAUCCUGCUAGACUUACACAGUUAGUCUGUAAGGUGAGCAGGAUGUGGGCAUAGAUCUUGGCACUAGAGAUGUAGAUAUUAAUCUGCAUGAAGCAAAUAAGCAAUGAGUGACCUCACUUUCCAGAACCCAUCAUGUCAUCUGCUGAUUUAUAUGUCUGAGUAUGGACAGGAUUAAGAAGCUUUCACAUGGUGUGGAUCUAAUUCAUAUAUUUACAAACAGUUUUUAAGCUGUCAAAUCUCUGCUUUAAAAUAUUUAUGCAGCUGACUGUAGAUUGUUGGAUUUAGGACAUACUGUGUUUUCUUUCCUCUGUCCAACACAUCAGAUUAUCUGAGUUAAUACAUAUCUCAUUAGGGCAAUGAGAAGGGCUACAGUGAAUUCUGAUUCCUCCUAGGGGGAGGUUCAUGUCUUAACCAUGUUUGCCACAAUAAUCUAUUAGCUUCAAAACAUUGCUCCAAACAGGGUCAAUAACUAUAGAUCAACCUGUUCCCUAUAGGAGGCAGGAAUUUUUAUAAAUUUGGAUUCAGUAACACUGAUGUAGUCAUUAUGAAUUUAUGCAUUGAGUCCUUGCAGGGUUGGGAGGAAAUAAUGUCUCUGAGAGUGUCUGUCCCCCCCCCUAUCAGUAGAACCCAUUUUCAUAGCGCCAAGGGAAAAAGAAAGCAUGCCAUGCAAUUCACUACCUUCGCAUAAGUCUGGAUGGAAAAUAGUGCGGCUUUUAAAACUGCAGCUUUCAGUGGAAGGCCUGGUCUGAACUCCAAGUCUUGGUUUGUUGUGUUCUCUCUGGACGUUCUCAGCCCUUAGAGCCUUAGAAAGGGAGUCCUUUGCAGCAUUCCAGAGGGAACUUUCCAGUCAAUUAAAGAGCAGUAGGAGAGGCCCCAAAGAGAGUUCUGUCUAGUCCUUCCUGAAAGACGAUGAGAUGACUAGAGCUGGUUGAACAUUUUUUUGACAGAACAUUUUUCCAUUGGAAAGUGCAGUUUCAUCAAAAUCUAAAUGUCAGUUUAGGAACAUGUCAAUUUUGGUGACAUUUUCUACUGGAAAACUUCAGAACAAUUUGUUUCAACUUUCUUGUUGUAUUUUGAUAAUGUUGAAAUG